RNAcentral lists this ribosomal RNA (468 nucleotides) under uncultured bacterium. Its description in RNAcentral is "partial 16S ribosomal RNA". It matches the Rfam family "Bacterial small subunit ribosomal RNA", at positions 28 to 507 of the family's 1533-position model. The record is from RNAcentral.
GACGAACGCUGGCGGCGUGCUUAACACAUGCAAGUCGAACGGAAAGGCCCUGCUCUUGCGCGGUGCUCGUGUGGGGCACGCGGGUGUGACACGCGUGUAAACCCUCCUUGUCUUUCGGAUAUCUUCACGAAAAACGGGCUCUUAUCCGAUAGGAGCUAUUGCACCGCGUUGUUGGUUGGAGAGAUUCGGCGGUUGUGUAUGGACUCGCUGCUUAUCAGCUUGUUGGUGGGGUAGGGGCUUACUAAGGCUUCGACGGGUAGUCGGCCUGAGAGGGUGACCGGCCACAUUGGGACUGAGAUACGGCCCAGACUCCUACGGGAGGCAGAAGUGGGGAAUAUUGCACAAUGGGCGGAAGCCUGAUGCAGCGACGCCGCGUGCGGGAUGACGGCCUUCGGGUUGUAAACCGCUUUCGCCUGUGACGAAGCGUGAGUGACGGUAAUGGAUAAAGAAGCACCGGCUAACUACGUG